ACUCCAUUGACAGUUUGUCCAUUGACAAAAUGUAUCAACCUACAAUUCAACAAGACCGCUCCAUAGGGAUCCUAAAUUUCACUAAACUAUGAAUUGUUGUGAAUUAAUUUGGAAGAACAAAACAGUAGUUAAAAUAGCCAAUCUGGAAAAAUUCUGCAACCCACACAAAGUCACAAUCUGACCUUUUUUUGCUAUUCAAAAUUUUCAAAUUUCCAGUUCAUGUUAUUCAGAAGUGAAGUGCUACAUCCUGGUUAUCACACGCAGCAGCGGCACUUAGCAGCAAUUAGCUUGUAUGAACAUUUAAUGGAUUAAUCCACGCACCAUGACCACUUUCCCACAGCUGGACCCAGGUAAGAGGC
Pelobates cultripes (western spadefoot toad) is the source of this 359-nucleotide non-coding RNA. The record is from the annotation of a GenBank genome assembly. NCBI's taxonomy places the organism in Eukaryota, Metazoa, Chordata, Amphibia, Anura, Pelobatidae.